Molecule: ribosomal RNA, 508 nt
Filed under: uncultured Desulfobulbus sp.
Lineage: Bacteria; Pseudomonadati; Thermodesulfobacteriota; Desulfobulbia; Desulfobulbales; Desulfobulbaceae
Description: bacterial SSU rRNA
Rfam family: Bacterial small subunit ribosomal RNA
Source: RNAcentral
CGCCUUGCCAGCCCGCUCAGAACUCAAAGGAAUUGACGGGGCCCGCACAGCGGUGGAGUAUGUGGUUUAAUUCGAUGCAACGCGAAGAACCUUACCUGGUCUUGACAUCCCGGAGACCCUUAGGAAACUAGGGGGUGCUUCCAUCUGGAAGAAUCUGGAGACAGGUGCUGCAUGGCUGUCGUCAGCUCGUGUCGUGAGAUGUUGGGUUAAGUCCCGCAACGAGCGCAACCCUUGCCUUUAGUUGCCAGCAGUUCGGCUGGGCACUCUAAAGGGACUGCCGGUGUUAAACCGGAGGAAGGUGGGGAUGACGUCAAGUCCUCAUGGCCUUUAUGACCAGGGCUACACACGUACUACAAUGGCCGAUACAAAGGGCAGCGACACUGCGAGGUGAAGCCAAUCCCGUAAAAUCGGUCUCAGUCCGGAUUGGAGUCUGCAACUCGACUCCAUGAAGUUGGAAUCGCUAGUAAUCGUGGAUCAGCAUGCCACGGUGAAUACGUUCCCGGGCCUU